Molecule: ribosomal RNA, 464 nt
Filed under: Vreelandella stevensii
Lineage: Bacteria; Pseudomonadati; Pseudomonadota; Gammaproteobacteria; Oceanospirillales; Halomonadaceae
Description: partial 16S ribosomal RNA
Rfam family: Bacterial small subunit ribosomal RNA
Source: RNAcentral
CCUACGGGUGGCUGCAGUGGGGAAUAUUGGACAAUGGGCGAAAGCCUGAUCCAGCCAUGCCGCGUGUGUGAAGAAGGCCUUCGGGUUGUAAAGCACUUUCAGUGGGGAAGAAAGCCUUGGGGCUAAUACCCUCGAGGAAGGACAUCACCCACAGAAGAAGCACCGGCUAACUCCGUGCCAGCAGCCGCGGUAAUACGGAGGGUGCGAGCGUUAAUCGGAAUUACUGGGCGUAAAGCGCGCGUAGGCGGUCUGAUAAGCCGGUUGUGAAAGCCCCGGGCUCAACCUGGGAACGGCAUCCGGAACUGUCAGGCUAGAGUGCAGGAGAGGAAGGUAGAAGUCCCGGUGUAGCGGUGAAAUGCGUAGAGAUCGGGAGGAAUACCAGUGGCGAAGGCGGCCUUCUGGACUGACACUGACGCUGAGGUGCGAAAGCGUGGGUAGCAAACAGGAUUAGAUACCCCGGUAUC